This 439-nucleotide ribosomal RNA is filed under the name uncultured bacterium. RNAcentral describes it as "partial 16S ribosomal RNA". It matches the Rfam family "Bacterial small subunit ribosomal RNA", at positions 338 to 795 of the family's 1533-position model. The record is from RNAcentral.
CCUACGGGAGGCAGCAGUGGGGGAUAUUGCACACUGGGGGAAACUCUGAUGCAGCGACGCCGCGUGAGGGAAGACGGGCUUCGGAUUGUAAACCUCUGUCAUUGGGGAAGAAAAUGACGGUACCCGAAGAGGAAGCUCCGGCUAACUACGUGCCAGCAGCCGCGGUAAUACGUAGGGAGCGAGCGUUAUCCGGAUUUACUGGGUGUAAAGGGGGCGUAGGCGGGCGAGAAAGUUGAAUGUUAAACCUCCCGGCUUAACUCGUAGCUGAGUUUAGAAAUGCUUGUCUUGAGUGAAGUAGAGGCAGGCGGAAGUCCUGGUGUAGCGGUGAAAUGCGUAGAUAUUAGGAGGAACACCAGUGGCGAAGGCGGCCUGCUGGGCUUCAACUGACGCUGAGGCCCGAAAGCGUGGGGAGCAAACAGGAUUAGAUACCCGGGUAGUC